UAGGGAAUCUUCGGCAAUGGGGGGAACCCUGACCGAGCAACGCCGCGUGAGUGAAGAAGGUUUUCGGAUCGUAAAGCUCUGUUGUUAAGGAAGAACGAGUGUGAGAAUGGAAAGUUCAUACUGUGACGGUACUUAACCAGAAAGGGACGGCUAACUACGUGCCAGCAGCCGCGGUAAUACGUAGGUCCCGAGCGUUGUCCGGAUUUAUUGGGCGUAAAGCGAGCGCAGGCGGUUAGAUAAGUCUGAAGUUAAAGGCAGUGGCUCAACCAUUGUAGGCUUUGGAAACUGUUUAACUUGAGUGCAGAAGGUGAGGGUGGAAUUCCAUGUGUAGCGGUGAAAUGCGUAGUUAUAUGGAGGAACACCGGUGGCGAAAGCGGCUCUCUGGUCUGUAACUGACGCUGAGGCUCGAAAGCGUGGGGAGCGAACAGG
RNAcentral lists this ribosomal RNA (429 nucleotides) under Bacteroidota bacterium. RNAcentral describes it as "Bacteroidetes bacterium partial 16S ribosomal RNA". It matches the Rfam family "Bacterial small subunit ribosomal RNA", at positions 355 to 776 of the family's 1533-position model. Lineage: Bacteria; Pseudomonadati; Bacteroidota. The record is from RNAcentral.